GGGUUGUGAGGUUAAGCGACUAAGCGUACACGGUGGAUGCCUAGGCAGUCAGAGGCGAUGAAGGGCGUGCUAAUCUGCGAAAAGCGUCGGUAAGGUGAUAUGAACCGUAACAGCCGACGAUACCCGAAUGGGGAAACCCGGUGCACUUGUGCAUCAUCGUUUGAUGAAUCCAUAGUCAAACGAGGCGAACCGGGGGAACUGAAACAUCUCAGUACCCCGAGGAAAAGAAAUCAACCGAGAUUCCCCCAGUAGCGGCGAGCGAACGGGGAAAAGCCCAGAACCUGAAUCAGUUUGUGUGUCAGUGGAAGCGUCUGGAAAGUCGCACGACAGAGGGUGAUAGUCCCGUACACAAAAAUGCACAGAUUGUGAGUUCGAUGAGUAGGGCGGGACACGUGAUAUCCUGUCUGAAGAUGGGGGGACCAUCCUCCAAGGCUAAAUACUCCUGACUGACCGAUAGUGAACCAGUACCGUGAGGGAAAGGCGAAAAGAACCCCGGCGAGGGGAGUGAAAUAGAACCUGAAACCGUGUACGUACAAGCAGUGGGAGCCUUGAUUAAUCAGGGUGACUGCGUACCUUUUGUAUAAUGGGUCAGCGACUUAUAUUCUGUAGCAAGGUUAACCGAAUAGGGGAGCCGCAGGGAAACCGAGUCUUAACUGGGCGUUAAGUUGCAGGGUAUAGACCCGAAACCCGGUGAUCUAGCCAUGGGCAGGUUGAAGGUUGGGUAACACUAACUGGAGGACCGAACCGACUAAUGUUGAAAAAUUAGCGGAUGACCUGUGGCUGGGGGUGAAAGGCCAAUCAAACCGGGAGAUAGCUGGUUCUCCCCGAAAGCUAUUUAGGUAGCGCCUCGUGAACUCAUCUACGGGGGUAGAGCACUGUUUCGACUAGGGGGUCAUCCCGACUUACCAACUCGAUGCAAACUGCGAAUACCGUAGAAUGUUAUCACGGGAGACACACGGCGGGUGCUAACGUCCGUCGUGAAGAGGGAAACAACCCAGACCGCCAGCUAAGGUCCCAAAGUCAUGGUUAAGUGGGAAACGAUGUGGGAAGGCCCAGACAGCCAGGAUGUUGGCUUAGAAGCAGCCAUCAUUUAAAGAAAGCGUAAUAGCUCACUGGUCGAGUCGGCCUGCGCGGAAGAUGUAACGGGGCUAAACCAUGCACCGAAGCUGCGGCAGCGAACGUAUCACCCAAGACAAUUUGGCGAUGUUGAAUAACGAUUGAUGGAGCGAAGCGACAUCAAUGCGUUUUACAAAGUCGAGUUGGCUUAGGGAUACGUUCGUUGGGUAGGGGAGCGUUCUGUAAGCCUGCGAAGGUGGCCCGUGAGGGUUGCUGGAGGUAUCAGAAGUGCGAAUGCUGACAUAAGUAACGAUAAUGCGGGUGAAAAACCCGCACGCCGGAAGACCAAGGGUUCCUGUCCAACGUUAAUCGGGGCAGGGUGAGUCGACCCCUAAGGCGAGGCUGAAAAGCGUAGUCGAUGGGAAACAGGUUAAUAUUCCUGUACUGGGUGUUGCUGCGAAGGGGGGACGGAGAAAGCUAGGUUGGCCGGGCGACGGUUGUCCCGGUUUAAGCGUGCAGGUGGGUGUUUUUGGUAAAUCCGGAACACUGUUAACACUGAGGCGUGACGACGAGUCACUACGGUGACGAAGUAACCGAUGCUACGCUUCCAGGAAAAGCCUCUAAGCUCCAGGCAACACGCAAUCGUACCCCAAACCGACACAGGUGGUCAGGUAGAGAAUACUCAGGCGCUUGAGAGAACUCGGGUGAAGGAACUAGGCAAAAUGGUGCCGUAACUUCGGGAGAAGGCACGCUGGAUUUGGUGAAGUCCCUCGCGGAUGGAGCUGAGACCAGUCGCAGAUACCAGCUGGCUGCAACUGUUUAAUAAAAACACAGCACUGUGCAAACACGAAAGUGGACGUAUACGGUGUGACGCCUGCCCGGUGCCGGAAGGUUAAUUGAUGGGGUCAGCCUUUGGGCGAAGCUCUUGAUCGAAGCCCCGGUAAACGGCGGCCGUAACUAUAACGGUCCUAAGGUAGCGAAAUUCCUUGUCGGGUAAGUUCCGACCUGCACGAAUGGCGUAAUGAUGGCCAGGCUGUCUCCACCCGAGACUCAGUGAAAUUGAACUCGCUGUGAAGAUGCAGUGUACCCGCGGCAAGACGGAAAGACCCCGUGAACCUUUACUAUAGCUUGACACUGAACCUUGAGCCUUGAUGUGUAGGAUAGGUGGGAGGCUUUGAAGCGUGGACGCCAGUCUGCGUGGAGCCGACCUUGAAAUACCACCCUUUAAUGUUCGAUGUUCUAACGUGGGCCCCUGAGCGGGGUUGCGGACAGUGUCUGGUGGGUAGUUUGACUGGGGCGGUCUCCUCCCAAAGAGUAACGGAGGAGCACGAAGGUUAGCUAAUCCUGGUCGGACAUCAGGAGGUUAGUGCAAAGGCAUAAGCUAGCUUGACUGCGAGAGUGACGGCUCGAGCAGGUGCGAAAGCAGGUCUUAGUGAUCCGGUGGUUCUGAAUGGAAGGGCCAUCGCUCAACGGAUAAAAGGUACUCCGGGGAUAACAGGCUGAUACCGCCCAAGAGUUCAUAUCGACGGCGGUGUUUGGCACCUCGAUGUCGGCUCAUCACAUCCUGGGGCUGAAGUAGGUCCCAAGGGUAUGGCUGUUCGCCAUUUAAAGUGGUACGCGAGCUGGGUUUAGAACGUCGUGAGACAGUUCGGUCCCUAUCUGCCGUGGGCGUUGGAAGAUUGAGAGGGGUUGCUCCUAGUACGAGAGGACCGGAGUGAACGCACCACUGGUGUACGGGUUGUGAUGCCAAUUGCAUUGCCCGGUAGCUACGUGCGGAAGAGAUAACCGCUGAAAGCAUCUAAGCGGGAAACUUGCCUCGAGAUGAGUCUUCCCUGGGACUUUAAGUCCCCUGAAGGGCCGUUGAAGACGACGACGUAGAUAGGCUGGGUGUGUAAGCGUUGCGAGACGUUGAGCUAACCAGUACUAAUGACCCGAGAGGCUUAACCUUACAACACCGAAGGUGUUUUAG
Molecule: ribosomal RNA, 3025 nt
Filed under: Brenneria izadpanahii
Lineage: Bacteria; Pseudomonadati; Pseudomonadota; Gammaproteobacteria; Enterobacterales; Pectobacteriaceae
Description: Brenneria sp. Ir50 23S ribosomal RNA
Rfam family: Bacterial large subunit ribosomal RNA
Source: RNAcentral